This 253-nucleotide ribosomal RNA is filed under the name uncultured bacterium. Its description in RNAcentral is "partial 16S ribosomal RNA". It matches the Rfam family "Bacterial small subunit ribosomal RNA", at positions 524 to 776 of the family's 1533-position model. The record is from RNAcentral.
UACGGAGGGUGCAAGCGUUGUCCGGAUUUAUUGGGUUUAAAGGGUGCGUAGGCGGCCGAUUAAGUCAGGGGUGAAAUACCGCGGCUCAACCGCGGGGCUGCCCCUGAUACUGUUCGGCUUGGUGCCAUGGAGGGCAGGCGGAAUUUGCGGUGUAGCGGUGAAAUGCAUAGAUACCGCAAGGAAUGCCGGAUGCGAAGGCGGCCUGCUGCCAUGGAUACGACGCUGAUGCACGAAAGUGCGGGGAUCGAACAGG